Molecule: transfer RNA, 77 nt
Filed under: bacterium
Lineage: Bacteria
Also listed under: 2 other names
Description: tRNA-Met
Rfam family: tRNA
About the family: Transfer RNA (tRNA) molecules are approximately 80 nucleotides in length. Their secondary structure includes four short double-helical elements and three loops (D, anti-codon, and T loops).
Source: RNAcentral
GGCGGCGUAGCUCAGUUGGUUAGAGCAUGCGGCUCAUAUCCGCAGUGUCGCAGGUUCGACUCCUGCCGCCGCCACCA